Molecule: ribosomal RNA, 205 nt
Filed under: uncultured bacterium
Lineage: Bacteria
Description: partial 16S ribosomal RNA
Rfam family: Bacterial small subunit ribosomal RNA
Source: RNAcentral
UACGUAGGGUGCAAGCGUUAAUCGGAAUUACUGGGCGUAAAGCGUGCGCAGGCGGUUAUGUAAGACAGGUGUGAAAUCCCCCGGGCUUAACCUCGGGAACGUGCAUUUGUGACUUGCAUAGCUAGAGUAACGGUAGAGGGGGAUGGAAUUCCGGCGUGUAGGCAGUGAAAUGCGUAGAUAUGACGGAGGAACAGCCGAUGGCGAA